RNAcentral lists this ribosomal RNA (435 nucleotides) under uncultured bacterium. Its description in RNAcentral is "bacterial SSU rRNA". It matches the Rfam family "Bacterial small subunit ribosomal RNA", at positions 958 to 1392 of the family's 1533-position model. The record is from RNAcentral.
AACGCGAAGAACCUUACCUACUCUUGACAUCUACAGGAUCCUGCGGAGACGCGGGAGUGCCUUCGGGAACUGUAAGACAGGUGCUGCAUGGCUGUCGUCAGCUCGUGUUGUGAAAUGUUGGGUUAAGUCCCGCAACGAGCGCAACCCUUAUCCUUGUUUGCCAGCGAGUAAUGUCGGGAACUCCAGGGAGACUGCCGGUGAUAAACCGGAGGAAGGUGGGGACGACGUCAAGUCAUCAUGGCCCUUACGAGUAGGGCUACACACGUGCUACAAUGGCGCAUACAGAGGGCGGCGAGCUAGCGAUAGUGAGCGAAUCCCAAAAAGUGCGUCGUAGUCCGGAUUGGAGUCUGCAACUCGACUCCAUGAAGUCGGAAUCGCUAGUAAUCGUGGAUCAGAAUGCCACGGUGAAUACGUUCCCGGGCCUUGUACACACCG